CAGUCGUACCUUCGGGUAAUCAGCCUUUCGGGUGCGAUUCUGUGGGGUUUGAGGAGCUUAACACCUUCAUGCUUUUGCAUAUUCGUGCUCUUGGGUGUACUUGCCCGUGUGGUUGGUUAACAUCAAUUUGGUGGUCAUAAAAUGACUGGAGGAAUGUAGCUUCGAUCUUGUAUUGAAGUGUUAUAGCCUCUUGUCGUACACGGUGUCUGGGAUCGAGGACUGCAGCACGCCUUU
This 234-nucleotide ribosomal RNA is filed under the name Rhizophagus irregularis. Lineage: Eukaryota; Fungi; Glomeromycota; Glomeromycetes; Glomerales; Glomeraceae. The record is from RNAcentral.